AGCACUCUAGACGGAACUGCCGUUGGACAAACGGAGGAAGGUGGGAUGACGUCAAAUCAUCAUGCCCCUUAUGUUCUGGGCUACACACGUGCUACAAUGGCCGGUACAGACGGACGCAAAGCCGCGAGGUGGAGCAAAUCCUAAAAAGCCGGUCUCAGUUCGGAUUGCAGGCUGCAAUUCGCCUGCAUGAAGUCGGAAUCGCUAGUAAUCGCGGAUCAGCAUGCCGCGGUGAAUACGUUCCCGGGCCUU
Molecule: ribosomal RNA, 249 nt
Filed under: uncultured Bacillus sp.
Lineage: Bacteria; Bacillati; Bacillota; Bacilli; Caryophanales; Bacillaceae
Description: partial 16S ribosomal RNA
Rfam family: Bacterial small subunit ribosomal RNA
Source: RNAcentral